CUCAAAUCAGGUAGGACUACCCGCUGAA
Molecule: ribosomal RNA, 28 nt
Filed under: Papiliotrema laurentii
Lineage: Eukaryota; Fungi; Basidiomycota; Tremellomycetes; Tremellales; Rhynchogastremaceae
Description: partial 28S ribosomal RNA
Source: RNAcentral